This 1089-nucleotide long non-coding RNA is filed under the name Delphinapterus leucas (beluga whale). RNAcentral's name for it is "lncRNA (ENSDLEG00000021215.1)". Lineage: Eukaryota; Metazoa; Chordata; Mammalia; Artiodactyla; Monodontidae. The record is from RNAcentral.
CACAGGGCCUGGUGUGCGGUGCCCGCUCGGAGCCUCCGGCCCUCGGGAGUAGAAAGAGAACUGGGAUAUCCGGCCACACUGCAGGCCGGGGCAGAGCAGGGUCCUUGAGGGCUCCUGGCCCCCACCCAGGGUCCCCGACCCCUGCCCUGCCCUCGCCCAGGGUGGGAACUGUGAGAUCUCAGGGAAGAGCGACGCGGACGACUUCCGCCGGCUGCUGGCCGCCAUGGAGGUGCUGGGCUUCAGCGCCGAGGACCAGGACAGCAUCUUUCGCAUUCUGGCCUCCAUCCUGCACCUGGGCAACGUCUACUUUGAGAAGUAUGAGACAGACGCGCAGGAGGUUGCCUCGGUGGUGAGUGCCCGGGAGAUCCAGGCCGUGGCCGAGCUGCUGCAGGUCUCCCCCGAGGGCCUGCAGAAGGCCAUCACCUUCAAAGUGACCGAGACAAUGCGAGAGAAGAUCUUCACCCCCCUGACCGUGGAGAGUGCCGUGGAUGCCAGGUGAGGCCACACCUCCCGCCUGAGCCCCAGGUGCCCCGCCCCCUUACUGUGCCUGCCCCCCCCCCCCCCCCCACCCCCCGCCAAACACCAUCUCUGCUCCAGGGAUGCCAUCGCCAAGGUCCUGUACGCGCUGCUUUUUGGCUGGCUCAUCGCCAGGGUCAACGCGCUGGUAUCCCCGCAGCAGGACGCGCUGUCCAUCGCCAUCCUGGACAUCUAUGGCUUCGAGGUGGGGCCCCGGGGGCGCUCUUGCACCGUCACCUGUUCAGGGCCCUCCCCUAUGAUUAUCUCCCUCUGCUCGCCCACAAGCGCUCCCUGGGGCCUCCGGGCGGCAGGCCCUGUGGGCAGCACCAGGGACCCCAGAAAGAACCAGACCUGGGCCCCGACCUCGGGGCGCUUCCAGGAGGGACUGGGUGGGAUGAGGAUGAACACUGACGAACACAUGUGGUCAGAGCUGUAACAGAGGCAGCCUGGCACUGGGGGAGCCUGGAGCAGAACCCUAGCUGGGCAGGCAUCAGGUAAGGUUUCCUGGAGGCGGAGGAGACGUCCUGAGCUAAUUCCUUACAAACCAGCCAAGGCAUUUGAGGUGGAGGGAAC